UACGGAGGGUGCAAGCGUUAUCCGGAUUCACUGGGUUUAAAGGGAGCGCAGGCGGACUUGUAAGUCAGUGGUGAAAUACCUGAGCUUAACUCGGGAACUGCCAUUGAUACUAUAGGUCUUGAAUGUUGUUGAGGUUUGCGGAAUGGGUCAUGUAGCGGUGAAAUGCAUAGAUAUGACCCGGAACACCUAUUGCGAAGGCAGCUAACUAAGCUUUAACUGACGCUGAGGCACGAAAGUGUGGGGAUCAAACAGG
Molecule: ribosomal RNA, 253 nt
Filed under: uncultured bacterium
Lineage: Bacteria
Description: partial 16S ribosomal RNA
Rfam family: Bacterial small subunit ribosomal RNA
Source: RNAcentral